This is a non-coding RNA of Erinaceus europaeus (western European hedgehog), 107 nucleotides long. NCBI's taxonomy places the organism in Eukaryota, Metazoa, Chordata, Mammalia, Eulipotyphla, Erinaceidae. The record is from Rfam.
GUGCUUGCUUCAGUAGCACAUAUGCUAAAAUUGGAACAAUAUAGAGAAGAUUAGCAUGGCCCCUGCACAAGGAUGACACAAAAAUUAGUGAAGCAUUCUAUAUUAAA